Molecule: long non-coding RNA, 289 nt
Organism: Eurytemora carolleeae
Lineage: Eukaryota; Metazoa; Arthropoda; Copepoda; Calanoida; Temoridae
Exons: 4
Source: RefSeq, a predicted model, not a curated record
GGGUUAAGUCGGGAAAGUGAAGAAGAAGCGGAAGUGAAUGAAACCAAACCAUACCAACACGCGGGAGCAGCUGUUUCGUCAGCUGAAAGGUUCAGGCGACGAAUGAAUUACGGAAGAAAAAGUUCAGAUGACACUACCAGCUCCAGUAGAACCAAUAGUGCUAGUAAUAAAAGGUUAACAAAAGAAGAAAAAAAUAUGAGUAAUAAGGAAUCUGAAUAUAGAUCCAGAUGGAAUGAUGACAAAGAAUCAAAAUAUAAAGAAGCUGGGAGCUCUCCCAUAAGAUCAAGGU